CAACCUGGUUGAUCCUGCCAGUAGUCAUAUGCUUGUCUCAAAGAUUAAGCCAUGCAUAUCUAAGUAUAAGCCCUUGUACGGCGAAACUGCGAAUGGCUCAUUAAAACAGUUAUCGUUCCUUUGAUAAUCACUUACUACAUGGAUACCUGUAGUAAUUCUAGAGCUAAUACAUGCGUCAUUGCCCGACUUCACG
RNAcentral lists this ribosomal RNA (193 nucleotides) under uncultured eukaryote. RNAcentral describes it as "partial 18S ribosomal RNA". It matches the Rfam family "Eukaryotic small subunit ribosomal RNA", at positions 1 to 193 of the family's 1831-position model. The record is from RNAcentral.